UACAGAGGGUGCUAGCGUUGUUCGGAAUCAUUGGGCGUAAAGGGCGUGUAGGCGGUUUGUUAAGUCAUGUGUGAAAUCCCUCGGCUCAACCGGGGAACGACGCAUGAAACUGGCAAGCUAGAGUACCAAAGAGGGGGGUGGAAUUCCCGGUGUAGCGGUGAAAUGCGUAGAGAUCGGGAAGAACAUCGGUGGCGAAAGCGCUCUACUGGACCGCAACUGACACUCAGGGACGAAAGCUAGGGGAGCGAAUGGG
Molecule: ribosomal RNA, 253 nt
Filed under: uncultured bacterium
Lineage: Bacteria
Description: partial 16S ribosomal RNA
Rfam family: Bacterial small subunit ribosomal RNA
Source: RNAcentral